CUGGACCAUCGAAGCUUUCGGAGACAGU
Molecule: small RNA, 28 nt
Filed under: Bombyx mori (domestic silkworm)
Lineage: Eukaryota; Metazoa; Arthropoda; Insecta; Lepidoptera; Bombycidae
Description: ovarian small RNA-14927
Source: RNAcentral